GGCUUCAUCCUUGAAACCUCAUGAACCAACAUCUGCUAGCUUCAGACUUUUCUUCUGCAGCUUCUGCAGCUUCUGCAUCUCUGUCAGCCUUUCUAGAAUUGAGGAGUUAGGGCCUUGCUCUGGAUUAGACUUCGGUUUAAGAGCAUGUUGUGGCUGGCUCAAUCUUCUAUCCAGACCACUCAAACUUUCUGCAUAUCACCAAUAAAGCUGCUUCACUUUCUUAUCAUUCAUGUGUUCACUGGAGUAGCACUUGUAAUUUCCUCCAAGAACUUUCCCUUUACAUUCACAACUUGGUGAACUAUUUGGCACAAGAGGCCUUUCAGCCUAUCUUGGCUUUUGGCAUGCCUUCCUCACUAAGCUUAAUCAUUUUCAGCGUUUAAGUGAGAGGCAUGCAACUCUUUCUUUCACUUGAACACAUAGACAACAUUGUAGGGUUAUGAAUUGACCUAAUUUAAAUAUUGCUGUGUCUUAGAAAAUAGGGAGGCCCAAGGAGAGGGAGAGAGAUGGGGACACAGCCAGUAAAUGGAGCAGUUAGAACACACACAUUUAUUGAUUAUAUUUGCCAUUUUACAUGGGUGCGGCUUUUGACAUCCUAUGACAAUUAUCAUAGUAACAUCAAAGAUCACUGAUCACAGAUCACCAUAGUAGAUAAUAAUAAUAAUGAAAAAGUUUAAAAUAUUGCAAGAAUUACCAAAAUGUGACACAAAGACAUGAAGUAAGCAUAUGCUGUUGGGAAACGGCACUGACAGACUUACUUGAUUCUGGGUUGCUACAAACCUGCAAUUUGUAAAAAAAAUGCAAUAUCUGCAAAGCACAAUAAAGCAAAGCACAAUAAAACAAGAUAAGCCUGUACUCAUAAACUUUGACAUAUCUUCAUUACAAAGGAGAAAACAGCCACUAGAUAUGAAAAGAUUUGCCCAAAGUCAUUCAACUAGGAGAGAAAUGAAGACUAGAACCUUGUUAUUAGGGUUAAAAAUAGUGAAAAUCUUGGUCUAAUAAUUAUUUUGAAUUAUAAUUAAGUCACUGUUUUGUGUGUUUUUUUUUGUUGUUGUUGUUGUUGUUGUUUUUUGAGACGGAGUCUCACUCUUUUGCCCAAGCUGGAGUGCAGUGGCAUAAUCUUGGCUCACUGCAACCUCCACCUCCUGGGUUCAAGGGAUUCUCCUGCCUCAGCCUCCCCAGUAGCUGGGAUCACAGGCACGCACCACCACAUCCAACUAAUUUUUGUAUUUUUAGUAGAGAUGGGGUUUCACCAUGUUGGCCAGACUGGUCUUGAACUCCUGACCUCAGGUGAUUUGCCCACCUUGGACUCCCAAAAUGCUGGGAUUACAGGCAUGAGCCACUGUGCCCAGCCACUUUUUUUUCUUUAGAGGCAAGGUCUCUUUCAGUCUCCCAGGCUGGAGUGCAGUGAUGCAAUCAUACCUCACUGCAGCCUCAAACUCCUGGCUCAAGCAAUCCUCCCUCCUCAGCCUCUGUAACAACUAGGACCGCAGGUGUGUGCCACAACUCUCGGCUACUUUUUAAUUUUUUUGUAGAGUCAGGGUCUUGCUAUGUUGUGUAGACUGAUCUUGAACUACUGGCCUCAAGUAAUACUCCUGCCUUAGCCUCCCAAAGUGUUUCAGGCAUGAACUACUAUGCCAGGCCUAUUUUCAUUUUUUUUCAUUUUUUUUGAGACAGAGUCUUGCUCUGUCACCCAGACUGGAAUGCAGUGGCGUGAUCUCGACUCACUGCAACCUCCCCUUCCUGGGUUCAAGCAAUUCUCCUGCCUCAGCCUCUGAAGUAACUGGGGUUACAGGCGUCCACCACCACGCCAGGCUAAUUUUUGUAUUUUUAGUAAAGGUGGCAUUUUGCCAUGUUGGCCAGGCUAGCCUCGAACUCCUGACCUCAGGUGAUCGGCUUGCCUUGGCCUCCCAAAGUGCUGGGAUUACAGGCAUGAGCCACCACGCCCGGCCCCCUUUAUUACAUGUUCUGAUUUAUAGUCUUUCUGGUAACUUAGAGUAUGCAUACUUGAAGCAUCAUCAAGAUUCUCAUCUAGAAGAGAAGAGUCAAAAAAUAAUAAUUUGAUUCAAAGAAAUAGUAAGUCUUAUGCCUGUAAUCCCAGUACUUUGGGAGACCAAAGUGGGAGGAUCACUUGAGGCCAAGAGUUGGAGACCAGCCUGGGCAACAUAAUGAGACUCCCAUCUCUACACACACACACACACACACACACACACACACACACACACACACACACAAAUAAGCCAGAAAUGGUGGCUUGCACCUCUAGUCCCAGCUACUGGAGGGGUGGGGAAGGUGUGUGAGGUGAGAAAAUAGCUUAAGUUCAGGAGUUCAAGGCUGCAGUGAGCAGUGAUGGCAUCACUGCACUCCAGCCUGAGUGACAGAGUGAGACCCUGUCUCAAAAAAAAAAAAAAAAAGAUAAGAAAGGAAAAAAGAAAAGAGAAAGGAAAUACUAAGUAUCUGUCACAUUUAUGUUAUAUGUUUUAAUGGCAUUGUCUCAUGGAUGCCUAGUUCUGGAAUAUUUAAAUCUUCUUGUUUCUUUUUUUAAUAUAAUUUUUCAAAUUUUUUGGCUAAUCUUCUCUGUAUCAUUCAAAUUUGAGUAUAUGUGCUGCCAAAGCAAGCACCGUUUCUUUACUUUUAUUAUACAGUUUAAAAUUCUGUCAACUUUUACUCUGUGAUGGCUCCCAGAUUUGCUUUAUUUUUUAUUUUUUUGCUGUUUUCAGAAAUGAUGUAUUUAGUUUAGGGCUUUAUCACCACACAUAUAGACUACUAGAAUAUCUUUUAGAUUGUCUCUUUUUUUUUCUUGAGACAGAGUUUCGUUCUUGUUGCCCAGGCUGGAGUGCAAUGGCAUGAUCUCGGCUCACUGCAACCUCCACCUCCUGAGUUCAAGCAAUUCUCCUGUCUCAGCCUCUCAAGUAGCUGGGAUUACAGGCACCCACCACCAUGCCCAGCUAAUUUUUGUAUUUUUAGUAGAGGCGGGGUUUCACUGUGUUGGCCAGGCUGGUCUCCAACUCCUGACCUCAAGUGAUCUGCCUGCCUCGGCCUCCCAAAGUGCUGGGAUUACAGGCGUAAGCCACCACGCCCGGCCUAGGUUGUCUCAUUUUAAAAUUUUAUUUAUUUUAUUAUUUGCCAAUUUAUUUAUUUUGAAACAAGGUCACCCAGGCUGGAGUGCAAUGGCGCUAUCAUGGCUCACUGCAGCCUCAAUCUCCUGGGCUCAAGUGAUCCUCCCACCUCAGCCUUUCCCCUGGUAGCUGGGACUAUAGGCACAUACCACCACACCUGGCUAACUUUUUUAUUUUUUGUAGAGAUGGAGAUCUUUUUAUGUGCUCAUAACAAGAGGCAGGAGGAUCACUUGCGCCCAGGAGUUUGAGACCAGCCUCUUGAACUUCUGGCUCAAGCGAUCCUCCCACCUCAGCCUCCCACAGUGCUGGGAUUACAGGUGUGAGCCACUGCACCUGGCUUUUAAAAAAAUUUUCUUCAAGUCAUCUUGCAUACUACUGUCUAGAAAUUGUUCCAGAAUAAAUUCUAAAUGUUUUUGUUUUAAAUUUAUAUUUUUAGAUAAUUUUUUAUCUCUAUAAGUUUGAAAUUACUUAUUGUUAAUAAUUUCCCUUUAUAUUGGGCAUACAGUGAAGUUUUUAAAAAGUAUUUCAUUAUUCUACUUGCUUAGUUCAGGCAUUCUUUUUUUUUUUUUUUUUAAUUUAUUUUUUUAUUGAUAAUUCUUGGGUGUUUCUCACAGAGGGGGAUUUGGCAGGGUCAUGGGACAAUAGUGGAGGGAAGGUCAGCAGAUAAACAAGUGAACAAAGGACUCUGGUUUUCCUAGGCAGAGGACCCUGCGGCCUUCCGCAGUGUUUGUGUCCCUGAUUACUUGAGAUUAGGGAUUGGUGAUGACUCUUAACGAGCAUGCUGCCUUCAAGCAUCUGUUUAACAAAGCACAUCUUGCACCGCCCUUAAUCCAUUUAACCCUGAGUGGACACAGCACAUGUUUCAGAGAGCACAGGGUUGGGGGUAAGGUCACAGAUCAACAGGAUCCCAAGGCAGAGGAAUUUUUCUUAGUGCAGAACAAAAUGAAAAGUCUCCCAUGUCUACUUCUUUCUACACAGACACGGCAACUAUCCGAUUUCUCAAUCUUUUCCCCACCUUUCCCGCCUUUCUAUUCCACAAAGCCGCCAUUGUCAUCCUGGCCCGUUCUCAAUGAGCUGUUGGGAACACCUCCCAGACGGGGUGGUGGCCGGGCAGAGGGGCUCCUCACUUCCCAGUAGGGGCGGCCGGGCAGAGGCGCCCCUCACCUCCCGGACGGGGUGGCUGGCUGGGCAGGGGGGCUGACCCCCCCCACCUCCCUCCCGGACGGGGCGGCUGGCCGGGCGGGGGGCCGACCCCCCCACCUCCCUCCCGGACGGGGCGGCUGGCCGGGCAGAGGGGCUCCUCACUUCCCAGUAGGGGCGGCCGGGCAGAGGCGCCCCUCACCUCCCAGACGGGGCGGCUGGCCGGGCGGAGGGCUCACCCCCCCACCUCCCUCCCGGACGGGGCGGCUGGCCAGGCGGGGGGCUGACCCCCCCACCUCCCUCCCGGAUGGGGCGGCUGGCCGGGUGGGGGGGCUGACCCCCACAUCUCCCUCCCGGACGGGGUGGCUGGCCGGGCUGAGGGGCUCCUCACUUCCCAGUAGGGGCGGCCGGGCAGAGGCGCCCCUCACCUCCCGGACGGGGCGGCUGGCCGGGCGGGGGGCUGACCCCCCCACCUGCCUCCCGGACAGGGCGGCUGGCCGGGCGGGGGGCUGACCCCCCCCACCUCCCUCCCGGAUGGGGCGGCUGGCCGGGCGGGGGGCUGACACCCCCCCCCACCUCCCUCCCGGACGGGGUGGCUGCCGGGCGGAGACGCUCCUCACUUCCCAGAUCGGGUGGCUGCCGGGCGGAGAGGCUCCUCACUUCUCAGACGGGGCAGCUGCCGGGCGGAGGGGCUCCUCACUUCUCAGACGGGGUGGUUGCCAGGCAGAGGGUCUCCUCACUUCUCAGACGGGGCGGCCGGGCAGAGACGCUCCUCACCUCCCAGACAGGGUCUCGGCCGGGCAGAGGCGCUCCUCACAUCCCAGAUGGGGCGGCGGGGCAGAGGCGCUCCCCACAUCUCAGACGAUGGGCGGCCGGGCAGAGACGCUCCUCACUUCCUAGAUGUGAUGGCGGCUGGGAAGAGGCCUCCUCACUUCCUAGAUGGGAUGGCGGCCGGGCGGAGACGCUCCUCACUUUCCAGACUGGGCAGCCAGGCAGAGGGGCUCCUCACAUCCCAGACGAUGGGCGGCCAGGCAGAGACACUCCUCACUUCCCAGACAGGGUGGCAGCCGGGCAGAGGCUGCAAUCUCAGCACUUUGGGAGGCCAAGGCAGGCGGCUGGGAGGUGUAGGUUGUAGUGAGCCGAGAUCACGCCACUGCACUCCAGCCUGGGCACCAUUGAGCACUGAGUGAACGAGACUCCGUCUGCAAUCCCCGCACCUUGGGAGGCCGAGGUUGGCGGAUCACUCGUGGUUAGGGGCUGGAGACCCGCCCGGCCAACACAGCGAAACCCCGUCUCCACCAAAACCAGUCAGGCGUGGUGGCGCGAGGCUGCAAUCGCAGGCACUGGUCAGGCUGAGGCAGGAGAAUCAGGCAGGGAGGUUGCAGUGAGCCGAGAUGGCAGCAGUACAGUCCAGCUUCGGCUCCGCAUGAGAGGGAGACCGUGGGGAGAGGGGGAGGGGGAGG
RNAcentral lists this long non-coding RNA (5719 nucleotides) under Homo sapiens (human). RNAcentral's name for it is "HSALNT0295704". The record is from RNAcentral. Lineage: Eukaryota; Metazoa; Chordata; Mammalia; Primates; Hominidae.